UACAGAGGGUGCAAGCGUUAAUCGGAAUUACUGGGCGUAAAGCGUGCGUAGACGGUUGCUUAAGUCGGAUGUGAAAUCCCCGGGCUCAACCUGGGAAUUGCAUUCGAUACUGGGCAGCUAGGGCGCGGAAGAGGGAAGCGGAAUUUCCGGUGUAGCGGUGAAAUGCGUAGAUAUCGGAAGGAACAUCAGUGGCGAAAGCGGCUUCCUGGUCCAGCACCGACGUUCAGGCACGAAAGCGUGGGGAGCAAAC
This 250-nucleotide ribosomal RNA is filed under the name uncultured bacterium. RNAcentral's name for it is "partial 16S ribosomal RNA". It matches the Rfam family "Bacterial small subunit ribosomal RNA", at positions 524 to 773 of the family's 1533-position model. The record is from RNAcentral.